UCCUGGCUUAGGACGAACGGCUGGCGGCGUGCCUAAUACAUGCAAGUCGAACGGCUUUUCUAUGGAAGCUUGCUUCCACUGAGAAGAUAGUGGCGAACGGGUGAGUAACACGUGGGUAACCUGCCCAUAAGAGGGGGAUAACAUCCGGAAACGGGUGCUAAUACCGCAUAGUUUUCUUGAUCGCAUGAUCGGGAAAGGAAAGACGGCCUUUGUGCUGUCGCUUAUGGAUGGACCCGCGGCGUAUUAGUUAGUUGGUGAGGUAACGGCUCACCAAGACGAUGAUACGUAGCCGACCUGAGAGGGUGAUCGGCCACAUUGGGACUGAGACACGGCCCAAACUCCUACGGGAGGCAGCAGUAGGGAAUCUUCCGCAAUGGACGAAAGUCUGACGGAGCAACGCCGCGUGAGUGAAAGAAGGUUUUCGGAUCGUAAAACUCUGUUGUCAGAGAAGAACAAGUUGGAGAGUAACUGCUCCAGCCUUGACGGUAUCUGACCAGAAAGCCACGGCUAACUACGUGCCAGCCGCCGC
This 529-nucleotide ribosomal RNA is filed under the name uncultured bacterium. RNAcentral's name for it is "bacterial SSU rRNA". It matches the Rfam family "Bacterial small subunit ribosomal RNA", at positions 17 to 518 of the family's 1533-position model. The record is from RNAcentral.